Molecule: ribosomal RNA, 326 nt
Filed under: uncultured Acinetobacter sp.
Lineage: Bacteria; Pseudomonadati; Pseudomonadota; Gammaproteobacteria; Moraxellales; Moraxellaceae
Description: bacterial SSU rRNA
Rfam family: Bacterial small subunit ribosomal RNA
Source: RNAcentral
CUGAUCGCCAUGCCGCGUGUGUGAAGAAGGCUUAUGAGUUGUAAAGCACUUUAAGCGAGGAGAGGGCUUUCUUAAUACCUAGAGAUAGUGGACGUUACUGAGAAACCACCGGCUAACUCUGUGCCAGCAGCCGCGGUAAUACAGAGGGUGCAAGCGUUAAUCGGAUUUACUGGGCGCAAAGAUAAAGAGAGGCGGCUAAUUAAGUCAAAUGUGAAAUCCCCGAGCUUAACUUGGGAAUUGCAUUCGAUACUGGUUAGCUAGAGUGUGGAGAGGAUGGUAGAAUUCCAGGUGUAGCGGUGAAAUGCGUAGAGAUCUGGAGGAAUACC